CAAACACGGAGGCUCUAGCAGGCAGGAGGGGGUGGGGGGUGGAGACUUGAGGCCAGAGCCCUUCCCUGAGUAGGGUCGAAGUAUUGGGCGGCACCUGUUACCUGGAACCAAGACUCAGCAGCCUGCCUGCUCUCCACAAACAGGCCCCAGAAACCCCGGACACUUGGAAGGUUGUCUGCAUUCCCUGCCAUUGGAGACCCCAGAGCCAGGCGAUGAAGCCCCUCCGUCACCCAGAGGCCAGUGUCGGGCCCCCAUACAGCUGGACACAGGACUACCCUCACCCUGGCUUUGCCCAGGACAGAGCCUACCAAGCCAGAGACUCGGGCUGGAAACCCUUGGAGAGAAGGUGACCUAGGCAGCCAGUCCCAGUCUGGGGCCACCCAGGAUUUGCUAUUCCAGCAACAGCUGGUGACCCUUCCCUCCUCAGGGCGGGCUGAGGAGAACCCGUCCAGGUGGGCAGUGAGGACACACAGCUGCUCAGGAUCCCAGGAGGGCAGAAGGCAAGAAAGCACGGAGCAGGGAUCGGAACUGAAUCAUUGUUUAUUUCUGGGAAAGCAUGUCUGCCAGUUUGGGCCGACACCUUUGGCCCCCACAAGGCUGCGGCCCUGAGAACAGACCACCCUGAGCCACCGCCAGGCCGGCUCGCUGACAAGUAGGGAACAGCCCCCCAAACUUGGAGCGGUAACAGUACAAAGAGCAACAAAACUGAAUGCACAGCCUUCCCUCCCAAGCUUUGAAAGGUAGCAGCCGGGCUAUGAAAGUAGAAGCGUUGUGUAAGAAGUGUUAACUCUACAGCAAAUACAUCUUGUAAAAACUCAAUAAAUUAUAUAUAUAUAUAUAUAAACUUGUAACAUCUAAACCUGUGUGCAGGGCUGGCCCCCACUGGAAAUGCCUCCCCGCCUGGAACACAUGGCAAUUAGAAUGUGUAUGAAAAUACCAGCUUGCUUUGAAGUCCAAAAAAAUAAAUCUCCUAAAGAAAAAUCCUAGAGAAAUCUAGUUCCCCUGCAAAAGGACCAAGGAAAGACAAUAUCCCCACCAUAGUCACCUCACACUAGUAAUGACCCUUUGGGUGUGAGCGGGCUGCUCAGGCCUUGGGGUGCAGGCUGGGUGCGCCGAGAGAUGGGGCACACCCUCAGGGAACCCUUAAAACGAAGCAUAAACCUUCUCAGCUGUUAAUAAGUUAAGACUUAAACUGCUGCCAUGCGGUGGA
Hipposideros armiger (great roundleaf bat) is the source of this 1210-nucleotide long non-coding RNA. RefSeq lists it as uncharacterized. Lineage: Eukaryota; Metazoa; Chordata; Mammalia; Chiroptera; Hipposideridae. The record is from RefSeq and is a predicted model, not a curated record. The transcript has 2 exons.